This is a non-coding RNA of Monodelphis domestica (gray short-tailed opossum), 695 nucleotides long. NCBI's taxonomy places the organism in Eukaryota, Metazoa, Chordata, Mammalia, Didelphimorphia, Didelphidae. The record is from RefSeq and is a predicted model, not a curated record.
UUCCACUGCUGCUCCCAUUAUGACAUGACUGCAGGAACUGUAGGUGGCUUUUACAUCAAAUGUCAACCUAGACAUCAAUAUGAAUGAUGAAACCUCCCAGAGCUAUAACAGUGCCCAACAUCAAGAAGAUGACUUCAGGCCCAAUACCCUAUAUACUGUGCUACCUAGCUAUUCAUAGGAUGGAUUCAGAGAAACCUGGAAGGACCAGUAUGAACUGAUAUAGUGAAGUGAGCAGACCCAGAACCAUUAGUACAUUGAUGACAACAUUGUAAAACAAGAUGACUUCAAAAGAAUUAAGAAUCCUGAUGAUCAACCACAUCUCAAAAGCCUGAUGAUAAAUCAUGCUUUCCACUUCUUGACACGUAUUUUCAGAGCUGAAAACUGCUCCUUCUCCUUGGCUCUGUGCUCUGAGGUCUCCUCCCUCUCCGAAAAAAAAAAAAUUCUAAAAAACAAAUUCGUCUUGAGUGAAAGUAGAAAAAUGGAUCCCUGGGGAGACUGGACAGCCUGCUACCAUGGGGAUGGACCUUGGGCACAUAAACGGUGCGCUGAUCCCUUCCUGAUGACUCCUUCCCCUGGAAUGACUGUAACCAUGAAAAGUGAAAUAUCAGAUAAGUGAGGGAUUACUGUAUUUUCAAAACUGUCCUGCUCGUCUCUGCUUCCUUCUGAACUUCCUUUUGUUCUUUUCUGUUCAUUAA